Long non-coding RNA from Pygocentrus nattereri (red-bellied piranha), 1297 nucleotides. Lineage: Eukaryota; Metazoa; Chordata; Actinopteri; Characiformes; Serrasalmidae. The record is from Ensembl.
GUUUUACAGGAAGCUAGGUUAAAAAUGAAGGAACUGCUGAUUGCGACAUUCUUGAUCAUGUUGUCCACGUCCCUUCAAAAAGAAGGUCCUGGUGAUGUAAGUCCAGCAGAGAUAUUUGUUGCUAACUCCAAGGUGAAGGAAGGUCAACAAGUGAAAUUUAAGUGCAAAGUUACUGAUGUGAGAGCACAGAUGGUUUAUGUGCACCUCUGCGCGAGUGGUACCACAGUGAAGAUAGCAGAACUUGAACAAACUAAAAAUGAUGUAAUGUUUGUCUUUGACAAAGUUACUGUGAAAGAUUCAGGCUUGUACACCUGCGUUUAUUCUUUGGAGAAAGAUGCUGCAUGUAAGAUGAAUAUAAUAGGACGUAACUCAGCCUCACUGGAAGUUUCUGGUAAGUCAUAUUUCAACACAUAGUUUGUUCUUUAUUCAUCUUACAUUACUGAGUGCAUAUGUUUUCGGUAAACAAUCUGCUUCUACAUAGACAUUUUGCCAGCGAAGAUUACAGCAGCAAAGAGCUCUUUAAGAGAGGGUGAAGGCCUGACACUGACGUGCAGCAUCACAGGGCAUCAAAGCUGCUCUGAAGUCUAUGUUUACUUGUGUUUAAAUGGAAUCGGGAACAGAAACAGGACAGUGAACUGUAACAUUAAGUCUACUACUACAACAUUCCUUCUAAAAAAUGUCAAACAACAACAGUCUGGUAACUAUAGCUGUGUGUAUUCGACUUCUAAUUACUCUCUCAGUGAGGUGAGAAAGACUGGAGAAAACUCCAUCUAUGUUGAAGUGCAUGGUAAGGAAUGCUCUGUAAGGAUGUCCUAGAAAUUUGAUCUAUUUAUGUUCCGCUAUACAGUAUCUAAGAAUACAAUAUAUAUUCUAUAUUUUUUUACUUUUCAGACCUUAUAUCUGAAGAUGGAGGGCUGUCUAAUGCUAUAAUACUUUUAAUAGUUGCAGUAGCAUUUGCACUGGGAAUAUUUAUGUUUUUACCAUGCCGACACAUUAUUACGUUGAGUAAGUACAGUGUGAUUGCCAGCCUCACCACACAUAACAUUUAGAUAAAUGUGUCAUUAACUAUGCUUUAUCAAAUUCUUUGGAUGAAAAAGGCCACUUUAUUUAAUUCACGAUCACCACAGACAUAGACACAAACUUUAUCUUCCAAUUCUCUUCAUAUAUUGUCACGUCCAAAACCAAAAAAAUGAAUCUCCAAAAUAGCAACUUUACAGGAGAAGGCAAAAUACCUUUUACUUUUAAUAUAAGUUAGUGUAAUCCAAGCAAUUUUGAAGCAUUUCUUUUGGUCACCAUG